This 468-nucleotide ribosomal RNA is filed under the name uncultured bacterium. RNAcentral describes it as "partial 16S ribosomal RNA". It matches the Rfam family "Bacterial small subunit ribosomal RNA", at positions 28 to 507 of the family's 1533-position model. The record is from RNAcentral.
GACGAACGCUGGCGGCGUGCUUAACACAUGCAAGUCGAACGGAAAGGCCCUGCUUUUGUGGGGUGCUCGAGUGGCGAACGGGUGUGUAACACGUGAGUACCCUGCCCCUGACUUUGGGAUAACUUCAGGAAACUGGGGCUAAUACCGGAUAGGCGCUCCUGCUGCAUGGUGGGGGUUGGAAAGUUUCGGCGGGUGGGGAUGGACUCGCGGCUUGUUAGCUGGUUGGUGGGGUAGUGGCUUACCAAGGCUUUGACGGGUGGCCGGCCUGGGGGGGGGACCGGCCACAUUGGGACUGGGAUACGGCCAGGACUCCUACGGGAGGCAGCGGGGGGGAAUAUGGCACAAUGGGCGGAGGCCGGAGGAAGCAACGCCGCGGGCGGGAUGACGGCCUUCGGGUGGAAAACCGCUUUCGCCGGUGAGGAAGCGUGAGUGACGGUAAUGGGUAAAGAAGCACCGGCUAACUACGUG